UACGAAGGGGACUAGCGUUGUUCGGAAUUACUGGGCGUAAAGCGCGCGUAGGCGGCUUUGUAAGUUAGAGGUGAAAGCCCGGGGCUCAACUCCGGAACUGCCUUUAAGACUGCAUCGCUUGAAUCCGGGAGAGGUGAGUGGAAUUCCGAGUGUAGAGGUGAAAUUCGUAGAUAUUCGGAAGAACACCAGUGGCGAAGGCGGCUCACUGGACCGGUAUUGACGCUGAGGUGCGAAAGCGUGGGGAGCAAACAGG
Molecule: ribosomal RNA, 253 nt
Filed under: uncultured bacterium
Lineage: Bacteria
Description: partial 16S ribosomal RNA
Rfam family: Bacterial small subunit ribosomal RNA
Source: RNAcentral